AACGAAACUUCUUUAUCACCGAGUGCUUGCACUCUUCGAUAAAGAGUUGAGUGGCGAACGGGUGAGUAACACGUGGGCAACCUGCCCAAAAGAGGGGGAUAACACUUUUAAACAGGUGCUAAUACCGCAUAACCAUAGUUACCGCAUGGUAACUAUGUAAAAGGUGGCUAUGCUACCGCUUUUGGAUGGGCCCGCGGCGCAUUAGCUAGUUGGUGGGGUAAAGGCUUACCAAGGCAAUGAUGCGUAGCCGAACUGAGAGGUUGAUCGGCCACAUUGGGACUGAGACACGGCCCAAACUCCUACGGGAGGCAGCAGUAGGGAAUCUUCCACAAUGGGCGAAAGCCUGAUGGAGCAACGCCGCGUGGGUGAAGAAGGUCUUCGGAUCGUAAAACCCUGUUGUUAGAGAAGAAAGUGCGUGAGAGUAACUGUUCACGUUUCGACGGUAUCUAACCAGAAAGCCACGGCUAACUACGUGCCAGCAGCCGCGGUAAUACGUAGGUGGCAAGCGUUAUCCGGAUUUAUUGGGCGUAAAGGGAACGCAGGCGGUCUUUUAAGUCUGAUGUGAAAGCCUUCGGCUUAACCGGAGUAGUGCAUUGGAAACUGGGAGACUUGAGUGCAGAAGAGGAGAGUGGAACUCCAUGUGUAGCGGUGAAAUGCGUAGA
This 662-nucleotide ribosomal RNA is filed under the name uncultured bacterium. RNAcentral describes it as "bacterial SSU rRNA". It matches the Rfam family "Bacterial small subunit ribosomal RNA", at positions 65 to 694 of the family's 1533-position model. The record is from RNAcentral.